This 3180-nucleotide small RNA is filed under the name Pongo abelii (Sumatran orangutan). RNAcentral's name for it is "processed transcript". Lineage: Eukaryota; Metazoa; Chordata; Mammalia; Primates; Hominidae. The record is from RNAcentral.
AACAGAAAAACCAAAGAUAACAGUGGUUUAAACUAAAUAGGAGUUUUUCUUCUUACAUAAAAUAAGUCUAGAAGUAGGUGGUGUCCAGGUUCCUAUCUUUCUGCUCUGCUAUCCUCAGUGCAUGAUUUUUAUCCUCAGAUUACCUUACUCUCACUGUUCAAGUUUGCUCCUGGAGGCAGUGGGGAAGGCAAGAAAACUGGACUUUCUCUGCUUGAGUUAGCUUCCCUGAGGCCAUUUUCCAGAACCAGCAGCACCUGAACUUAUGUCUCGACCAGAACUGGGUCACACUGAUGGCCACACCUAGCUGCUAGGGAGGCUAAGAAGUCCAUGUGGCAAUGUGAUCAGCUAAAAGUUGGAUUCUUUUACUAAGGAAGAAGGGAAGAGGGAAUGUUUGGUAGGCAACUUUCAAUUUUAACCUCAGCCAGCCUUGUUGGCUACCUAAAUUCUGUGCACCUUCUUCUUCCGAGAUAGAAAACACUCACCCCUCUCUCUCUGAAGAGAAACCACCAGAAAUCCAGCCCAUUAUUGCAUAUUAGAUGAAAGACCGUGCUAUCUGGAGACAGUCCCCUCCAUCAUGUUAGGGUGUGGCUCCUUGUGUUCUGGCCACCUACAAACUGAAAGACAAGUUUUCUGCCCCGAGAGCACCAGAUGCAUAAUGCAAAGGUGCAGGAAAACUGACCUUUUAAAUUUUUUAGAGACAGGGUCUUACUCUGUUGUCCAGUCUAGAGUACAGUGGUGUGAUCAUAGCUUACUGCAGCCUUGAACUCCUGGGCUCAAGUGAUCCUUCCACCUCAGUCCCCCUAGUAACUAGAACUACAGGCACAUGCCACGAACGCCUGGCUAAACAUUUUUUUUGUAGAGAUGGAGUAUUGCUAUGUUGCUCAGGCUGGUCUUAAACUCCUGGUCUCAAGCAAUCUUCUCACCUCAGCCUCCCAAAGCACUGGGAUCACUGGUGUGAGCCACCAUGCCCAAGAUCCCUAAAAUUGACCUUUUAGAAAGAGGGAGAAAUAGAAUAUAGUGGGCACUGAUCCAUAGCAAUUUGAAAGUACCACUUGGCAAAAAUAAUUGAAUCUCUCUGCUAUAGUUCAUGAAUAUAUUCCUUGGUUUGCCCAUCAGGCAACCCCUGAUUCACCUUUCUGAGAGGAAUUCCUUUAUCUAAUGUCCUCAGGGGGCCUUGGUUUUACUUUCUGGGAGGUUUUUAUUGUACAUUAAUUUUCAGACACAAUCCGAAUGGGCAUUGGAAAGUAUACCCUUCUUGGAGGCUGUGCAGCCUUAGCAGUUUACUUCCUAUAAUUGUGAGUCUAGGGGCAGGCUUGGGAAUUAGAGUAUAGAUCCGUAACAGCUACAGGCUAUUGCAGGCCAGGUUUGGGUUUUUGUUGUUGUUUUGUUCUGUUUCUUGGCCAAGUGGAUUCCUAAAAAUUUAGUAAGUUUCUGAUCUGUUGUCUUCAGUCAUUUCCAUGGACAGUUUUAACCAAGGUAAAAUACAUUGUUUUUAACAAAGAACAUCAUCAUUUACUUGCUGGCCUCUGUGUGCUCUUCAUCCCCUUUGUUCUUACAGGAAUGGUACCUCCUUGAGAUCCUUUGAGACUGUAGGCUUACGUGGAAUGGCAACAGUCUUAAUCUGAUCUCUUCCCCUAGGAUGGCUCCUAUUAUUUGGCAGAAAAUUCUUAAGGGAAGGUUCUUAAAAAAGGUUGAGAAAGUUUUAGUAGCUCCCUCAGAGCCUUUACUUAUAAAUGUUUCAGUUUGGAGUACAGUACUACUUGACUUUUUCAAUUCUUCAGGGCUACAGAUUUGGGACUUGGUCAAUUUAUAUGGUAGACAAAGAGCAAUUCUCUCAGCAAAGCUAUUUUUCCCUUGCAUCACUGCAGACUUGUUGAUCUCAGUCCAAGUCAUAUAUCUCUUGUAGGGCUUUGCUGAAAAGAGGCAAGAAGCAGCCAACACAUGCUAGCACUCUGAAGUUCUACCACCUUCGUCUCUGGCAGGAAGUCUCAACCUCACCUUGACUUCUGUUGGCAAGAAGUCUCACUGCCCAAAGCCCUACCUCCUCAACUAAGCCAACCCCAGAUUUAGGGCCUUUGACUUGCUGCGCCUUACUUCUAGCUGCCAAAUUCUGUAUAGGUCAAGAUUCUUGGCUACAGGCAAUGAAAUCUUCUUUAGCUAUUAAACAGAAGGGAAUUGAUGAAUGAGUAUAUAUAGAUCACAGAAUCAAUGGGAGGGUUGAAGAAACAGAUCUAGGCUGAGCUUCUAGGAAUUAUGUCACAAGAGUAGGCUGCUGAAGGAGCUGCUGCUUUUAGAACAAUCAAGAAGCUGCCUGCUGGAUUAGGAAGCUGCCUGCUGAAUAGUCGCCAGUUCCAGAGCCACACCACCUCUGCCAUGCUUUAUGCCAGCAAAAAUAGAUACAUCUCUCCUGCCUCUGUCCCCACGUUACUUGGCUCUGAGUAAAAGUCUCAACCGUGAAGUACAAUCAAGAAGAAAUUGAAAAAGAGCCAGAGUUAGAUGAUGAGCUUCAUCGUUUGUCAUGCAGGAUUUUUAUCCCCUGAAGAACCUGCUAGAGAAGUCCACCUUCACCCUUAACCACUGGUGCCUCAACUUAAUACUUUUAAAAUUCAUUUGUUUCUGUUGGAAUUGGGAUACUAAGUAGUGCAUGGUUUCCACACUUUGGUGCAAGAUGUCUGCUCAAGCUCUAGGCAUUACAUCUGCUAUCCUGCUGUCAGAAAGAAGGAAGGGGAAAAGAUCAUUUCCUUCCCUUUAAGGAUAUUUCCCAGAAGUCACACAGAACAUUUCCAUUUAUAUUACUUUGGUCAGAACUUGGUCAUAUGGCCACAUUUAGCUCCAGAGUGAUUAGGAAAUGCAGUCUUUUAUUGAUCCCUGUGCCCAGGAAAAAACUGGAGGCUUUUUUCAAGGAAAAAGGGGAAAAUAGAUAUUGGUUGACAAAUAGCAGUCUCUGCCAUACUGUCCCUGGAUACAUGUCUUUGAGUGAAUGUCCCUUAUUUACCAUUCUGAUUACUUGUUGGAUAUUUUCAAUAUGUGUUACAAUAUGGUUCCAAAAUUGUAUGUGAUAUUCCAACAGCAAGUUGGAUGCAAUGUGUAAUAUAAAUGACCUCAGUGUCAACCAGCAUUUGAAUACUGUGUCUCAAUGCUGUGUACCAAUAAAGAACACAGAAAGUCAGAGUUUUCCAU